GGAGAGGUGGCAGAGCGGUUGAUUGUACCUGACUCGAAAUCAGGCGUACGUUUAUAGCGUACCGGGGGUUCGAAUCCCCCCCUCUCCGCCA
RNAcentral lists this transfer RNA (91 nucleotides) under Lysobacter enzymogenes. RNAcentral describes it as "tRNA-Ser". It matches the Rfam family "Proteobacterial sRNA sX4", at positions 15 to 105 of the family's 167-position model. RNAcentral also lists the same sequence under 6 other names. The record is from RNAcentral. Lineage: Bacteria; Pseudomonadati; Pseudomonadota; Gammaproteobacteria; Lysobacterales; Lysobacteraceae.